CCCAAGGCUCUUUUUAGGGCCAACAAAUCAAAAUCAAAAUAUAUUU
Non-coding RNA from Operophtera brumata (winter moth), 46 nucleotides. The record is from Rfam. NCBI's taxonomy places the organism in Eukaryota, Metazoa, Arthropoda, Insecta, Lepidoptera, Geometridae.